GAUGAACGCUGGCGGCGUGCCUAAUACAUGCAAGUCGAGCGAACAGACGAGGAGCUUGCUCCUCUGACGUUAGCGGCGGACGGGGGAGUAACACGUGGAUAACCUACCUAUAAGACUGGGAUAACUUCGGGAAACCGGAGCUAAUACCGGAUAAUAUAUUGAACCGCAUGGUUCAAUAGUGAAAGACGGUUUUGCUGUCACUUAUAGAUGGAUCCGCGCCGCAUUAGCUAGUUGGUAAGGUAACGGCGUACCAAGGCGACGAGGCGUAGCCGACCUGAGAGGAGGAGAGGCCACACGUGAACGGAGAGACGGUCCAGACUCCGACGGGAGGCACCAGUGGGGAAUAUUGCACAAGGGGCACAGGCAUGAUGCAGCCAUGCCGAGUGGAUGAAGAAGGCCUUCGGGUCGGAAAGGACUGGCAGCGGGGAGGAAGGGAGGAAAGGUAAGACCUGUGCGCAUUGACGGUACCCGCAGAAGAAGCAACGGCUAACGCCGUG
Molecule: ribosomal RNA, 497 nt
Filed under: uncultured bacterium
Lineage: Bacteria
Description: partial 16S ribosomal RNA
Rfam family: Bacterial small subunit ribosomal RNA
Source: RNAcentral